CAUUCGGUGACAGCUGCCUGGACUACUUUCACAAUUCAAGCUUUAGGUAUGGUACAACAGGAGUGAGAGCCUACUGGGUGUCUUUUGUCUUGCAAACCACCUGCCUCCCAUUAGCUCAUAACAAACAUAUUUCCAGAAAGGCUAAGGAUUGUUGACUUAUUACAUCAUAUACAUGUGGACACAUGUGCAUGCACUCUGUGUAUGUGUAUAUGUGUGUGUGUGUUUUUAUGUUUGAAAAGUUGGAGAGAGGUGAAGAUGAGAUGAGAAGGUGAUGUUGAUGAAACUAGAAAGGUACCAAUGUCCAAUCAAGACAGGAAUAGACCAGCAGCUUCCCUGAGCCUUUUCAUCAGCCUACAACAAUCAGAUCUUUGGAAAGAUCCUAAAGUCUUUUUCAUAACCUAACCUAGAUGAAGAGAGGAAAUGAAAAGACAAACAGUAAGAAAGCAGAAUUUCUUCUCCAACCCCCCAAAGUCUAUUGAUGUAAAAAAGAGAUUGCCCAAGUGCUGGUAGAAGGAGGAAGAAAAUGGCUGUGUAUUUGCCAUAAACCAACCCAGAGUAAAAAAUGGAAAUCUAUUUGAAGGGACCAAAAAUGAAGUAUUCCAAAACACAACUGAAGAGAUCGUUUGUAUGGAAGCUGGGACUAGCAAACCUAGGCAAGGCACCCACGUAUAAAUAUGGCCUUUACUCACUCAUUUCAACUGCUUUUUCAACACAUAAAUCAUCAUGAUGAAAUUGGUAGUAUCUUUGGAAGGGUAUGUCAAUGCUUGGUCUUUAGGGGGGUAGGCGAGAAAGUGAUUAAGUUCCUCUGUCUCUUGGAGAAUAGUAGAGCAGAGGAGGCCAAAAGAAACAGGAUUGGAAGGC
Sarcophilus harrisii (Tasmanian devil) is the source of this 861-nucleotide long non-coding RNA. RefSeq lists it as uncharacterized. Lineage: Eukaryota; Metazoa; Chordata; Mammalia; Dasyuromorphia; Dasyuridae. The transcript has 3 exons. The record is from RefSeq and is a predicted model, not a curated record.